GACGAACGCUGGCGGCGUGCCUAAUACAUGCAAGUUGAGCGCUGAAGGUUGGUACUUGUACCGACUGGAUGAGCAGCGAACGGGUGAGUAACGCGUGGGGAAUCUGCCUCUGAGCGGGGGACAACAUUUGGAAACGAAUGCUAAUACCGCAUAACAACUUUAAACACAAGUUUUAAGUUUGAAAGAUGCAAUUGCAUCACUCAAAGAUGUUCCCGCGUUGUAUUAGCUAGUUGGUGAGGUAAAGGCUCACCAAGGCGAUGAUACAUAGCCGACCUGGGAGGGUGAUCGGCCACAUUGGGACUGAGACACGGCCCAAACUCCUACGGGAGGCAGCAGUAGGGAAUCUUCGGCAAUGGACGAAAGUCUGACCGAGCAACGCCGCGUGAGUGAAGAAGGUUUUCGGAUCGUAAAACUCUGUUGGUAGAGAAGAACGUUGGUGAGAGUGGAAAGCUCAUCAAGUGACGGUAACUACCCAGAAAGGGACGGCUAACUACGUGCCAGCCGCAGCCGUAA
Molecule: ribosomal RNA, 513 nt
Filed under: uncultured bacterium
Lineage: Bacteria
Description: partial 16S ribosomal RNA
Rfam family: Bacterial small subunit ribosomal RNA
Source: RNAcentral